Molecule: ribosomal RNA, 399 nt
Filed under: uncultured bacterium
Lineage: Bacteria
Description: partial 16S ribosomal RNA
Rfam family: Bacterial small subunit ribosomal RNA
Source: RNAcentral
CCUACGGGAGGCAGCAGUGAGGAAUAUUGGUCAAUGGGCGCGAGCCUGAACCAGCCAAGUAGCGUGAAGGAUGACUGCCCUACGGGUUGUAAACUUCUUUUAUAAAGGAAUAAAGUGAGGCACGUGUGCCUUUUUGUAUGUACUUUAUGAAUAAGGAUCGGCUAACUCCGUGCCAGCAGCCGCGGUAAUACGGUGGAUCCGAGCGUUAUUCGGAUUUAUUGGGUUUAAAGGGAACGUAGAUGGGUUGUUAAGUCAGUUGUGAAAGCUUGCGGCUCAACCGGAAAAUUGCAGUUGAUACUGGCAGCCUUGAGUACAGUUGAGGAAGGUAGAAUUCCAGGUGUAGCGGUGAAAUGCGUAGAUAUCUGGAGGAACACCGGUGGCGAAGGCGGCCAACUAGAC